GCCUCUGUGGUGGAAUGGUAGACACACACGAUUUAAAAUCGUGUGCUUAAAGCGUACCGGUUCAAGUCCGGUCAGAGGUA
Molecule: transfer RNA, 80 nt
Filed under: Bulboplastis apyrenoidosa
Lineage: Eukaryota; Rhodophyta; Rhodellophyceae; Dixoniellales; Dixoniellaceae
Description: tRNA-Leu
Rfam family: tRNA
About the family: Transfer RNA (tRNA) molecules are approximately 80 nucleotides in length. Their secondary structure includes four short double-helical elements and three loops (D, anti-codon, and T loops).
Source: RNAcentral